CUGGAAAGCUAGAAAUGACUGCUAUUUCAAUGAUUCAAGUCCCCAACCUCAGCUCAUAGUAAGGAAAGCAGUGGUGGCUUUCAUAGAAUGCAGAGGUAAUUUGGUAGAUGGUUUGCAAUGUGUGAAGACUUGCACUUCACUCUCUGAUAGCAGAAGCUUACGCUUGCGAAGCUGUAGUUCAUUUGACCAUUAAUCUGAGAGUCCAAAGAGUUUGAUACCUGGCUAAUUCACUUAUCCUUUUUCAAGUUCUGGGAUAAGAUUUCAUAGGAGGACAUGGGGUGUGGGAGAUAUAAGCAGUAAUAGAUUCCAUCUCUGUAUUCACUGAGCAUCUUCUUUUUCUUUUCUCCAUUUCUGUGGCGUCAGGAAUCCUUUGCUGCUUUGUUACCUGCAUUUGACAGGAUCAUAUUUCCAUAUUGAACCAAGAAAAUGGCUCAAGGAAGCAAAAAUGGAUGCACCCAAGAGGGAUAAGAUGAUGUGACUUGAAUUUUGGAUAUAUUUUUUCAUGGAUUCAAAUUAU
This 517-nucleotide unclassified non-coding RNA is filed under the name Hevea brasiliensis (rubber tree). Lineage: Eukaryota; Viridiplantae; Streptophyta; Magnoliopsida; Malpighiales; Euphorbiaceae. The record is from RNAcentral.